RNAcentral lists this ribosomal RNA (548 nucleotides) under uncultured Glomus. RNAcentral's name for it is "SSU rRNA". It matches the Rfam family "Eukaryotic small subunit ribosomal RNA", at positions 548 to 1098 of the family's 1831-position model. Lineage: Eukaryota; Fungi; Glomeromycota; Glomeromycetes; Glomerales; Glomeraceae. The record is from RNAcentral.
UUGGAGGGCAAGUCUGGUGCCAGCAGCCGCGGUAAUUCCAGCUCCAAUAGCGUUUAUUAAAGUUGCUGCAGUUAAAAAGCUCGUAGUUGAAUUUCGGGACCAUCAUGUCGGUCGUGCCUCGGUACGUACUGGCAUUGCUGGUUUGUCCCUUCUGACGAACCAUGAUGUCAUUUAUUUGGUGUUGUGGGGAAUCAGGACUGUUACUUUCAAAAAAUUAGAGUGUUUAAAGCAGGCUCACGCUUGAAUACAUUAGCAUGGCAUAAUGAAAUAGGACGUUUGAUUCUAUUUUGUUGGUUUCUAGGAUUGACGUAAUGAUUAAUAGGGAUAGUUGGGGGCAUUAGUAUUCAAUUGUCAGAGGUGAAAUUCUUGGAUUUAUUGAAGACUAACUACUGCGAAAGCAUUUGCCAAGGAUGUUUUCUUUAAUCAAGAACGAAAGUUAGGGGAUCGAAGACGAUCAGAUACCGUCGUAGUCUUAACCAUAAACUAUGCCGACUAGGGAUCGGAUGAUGUUAAUUUUUUAAUGACUCAUUCGGCGCCUUACGGGAAAC